RNAcentral lists this ribosomal RNA (1148 nucleotides) under Micrococcus sp. SLG510B10-2-2. Its description in RNAcentral is "bacterial SSU rRNA". It matches the Rfam family "Bacterial small subunit ribosomal RNA", at positions 240 to 1397 of the family's 1533-position model. Lineage: Bacteria; Bacillati; Actinomycetota; Actinomycetes; Micrococcales; Micrococcaceae. The record is from RNAcentral.
AUCAGCUUGUUGGUGAGGUAAUGGCUCACCAAGGCGACGACGGGUAGCCGGCCUGAGAGGGUGACCGGCCACACUGGGACUGAGACACGGCCCAGACUCCUACGGGAGGCAGCAGUGGGGAAUAUUGCACAAUGGGCGCAAGCCUGAUGCAGCGACGCCGCGUGAGGGAUGACGGCCUUCGGGUUGUAAACCUCUUUCAGUAGGGAAGAAGCGAAAGUGACGGUACCUGCAGAAGAAGCGCCGGCUAACUACGUGCCAGCAGCCGCGGUAAUACGUAGGGCGCGAGCGUUAUCCGGAAUUAUUGGGCGUAAAGAGCUCGUAGGCGGUUUGUCGCGUCUGCCGUGAAAGUCCGGGGCUUAACCCCGGAUCUGCGGUGGGUACGGGCAGACUAGAGUGCAGUAGGGGAGACUGGAAUUCCUGGUGUAGCGGUGAAAUGCGCAGAUAUCAGGAGGAACACCGAUGGCGAAGGCAGGUCUCUGGGCUGUAACUGACGCUGAGGAGCGAAAGCAUGGGGAGCGAACAGGAUUAGAUACCCUGGUAGUCCAUGCCGUAAACGUUGGGCACUAGGUGUGGGGGACAUUCCACGUUUUCCGCGCCGUAGCUAACGCAUUAAGUGCCCCGCCUGGGGAGUACGGCCGCAAGGCUAAAACUCAAAGGAAUUGACGGGGGCCCGCACAAGCGGCGGAGCAUGCGGAUUAAUUCGAUGCAACGCGAAGAACCUUACCAAGGCUUGACAUGUUCCUGACCGCCGUAGAGAUACGGUUUCCCCUUUGGGGCAGGUUCACAGGUGGUGCAUGGUUGUCGUCAGCUCGUGUCGUGAGAUGUUGGGUUAAGUCCCGCAACGAGCGCAACCCUCGUUCCAUGUUGCCAGCACGUAGUGGUGGGGACUCAUGGGAGACUGCCGGGGUCAACUCGGAGGAAGGUGGGGACGACGUCAAAUCAUCAUGCCCCUUAUGUCUUGGGCUUCACGCAUGCUACAAUGGCCGGUACAAUGGGUUGCGAUACUGUGAGGUGGAGCUAAUCCCAAAAAGCCGGUCUCAGUUCGGAUUGGGGUCUGCAACUCGACCCCAUGAAGUCGGAGUCGCUAGUAAUCGCAGAUCAGCAACGCUGCGGUGAAUACGUUCCCGGGCCUUGUACACACCGCCCGU